ACCCGCUGAAUUUAAGCAUAUAACUAAGCGGAGGAAAAGAAACUAACAAGGAUUCCCCUAGUAAGGGCGACUGAAGCGGGAUCAGCCCAGAUUGUAAACUGACCUUAAUCAAGGUUGGGUUGUAGUCUAAAGAGGCGACGCCAGGCAAGGUCCGGGGAGAAGUCCCUUGGAACAGGGCAUCGGAGAGGGUGACAAUCCCGUCUGUGCCUCGGACCGCGUCGUACGGUGCGUCUUCGACGAGUCGGUUUGCUUGGGAUUGCAGACCAAACGGGUGGUAAAUUCCAUCUAAGGCUAAAUACGGGUGGGAGACCGAUAGCGAACAAGUACCGUGAGGGAAAGAUGCAAAGAACUUUGAGAAGAGAGUUAAAAAGGGCCUGAAACUGGUAAGAGGGAACCGAACGGCAGAAGUGGUGAUGGGCGCGUAUUUUCCGCCGGGCUCUUGGCCGGCGUACUUGUGCGCGUCCGUAGGUCAGCGUGGGUUGGGGCGUGGGAGUCGUUCAUGGGAAGGUCUUCGGGCCAAUCUCGUGUUCAGGCCGCGCCUGAGACCUUCGGUGACGAAAUUCUUCCGUUCACCCCGUCUUGAAACACGGACCAAGGAGUCUAAAAUACGAGCGAGUGCGCCGGUGGCAACCCGGGGCGCGUAAUGAAAGUGAGACCGACGGUGGGAGGGCUUUACGUCCGCACCAUCAACCGACCAGGAUCCUUCGGGUGAAAGGUUUGAGUGUAGCUUGUAUUUUGGGACCCGAAAGAUGGUGAACUAUGCCUGAAUAGGGCGAAGCCAGGGGAAACUCUGGUGGAGGCUCGUAGCGAUUCUGACGUGCAAAUCGAUCGUCAAAUUUGGGUAUAGGGGCGAAAGACUAAUCGAACCAUCUGGUAGCUGGUUCCCUCCGAAAUUUCCCUCAGGAUAGCAGCAAUCGAAGAGUUUUAUCAGGUAAAGCGAAUGAUUAGAGGCCUCAGGGGUGGAACGUCCUUGACCUAUUCUCAAACUUUAAAUGGGUAAGAGCCAGGGGUUGCUUAAGUGAACCCCUCGGUCGAAUCGCGGUUGCUAGUGGGCCACCCGGGGUAAGCUCGGUUGGCGAUGCGGGAUGAUCCGAACGUCGAGUUAAAGUGCCUCACUGCCCGCUCACCUAGAUCCCACAAAAGGUGUUGGUUCAUUUAGACAGCAGGACGGUGGCCAUGGAAGUCGGAACCCGCUAAGGAGUGUGUAACAACUCACCUGCCGAAUGGAUUAGCCCUGAAAAUGGAUGGCGCUGAUGCGAGCGACUUAUACUCGACCAUCACGGCAAGUGCGACGCCGUGAUGAGUAGGAGGGCGUGGGGCUCGUGGCGCAUCCCGCGGCGUGAGCCGGGGUGAAACGGGCUCUAGUGCAGAUCUUGGUGGUAGUAGC
RNAcentral lists this ribosomal RNA (1387 nucleotides) under Aureococcus anophagefferens. Its description in RNAcentral is "partial large subunit ribosomal RNA". It matches the Rfam family "Eukaryotic large subunit ribosomal RNA", at positions 23 to 1464 of the family's 3401-position model. The record is from RNAcentral. Lineage: Eukaryota; Pelagophyceae; Pelagomonadales; Pelagomonadaceae.